Molecule: ribosomal RNA, 737 nt
Filed under: uncultured cyanobacterium
Lineage: Bacteria; Bacillati; Cyanobacteriota
Description: bacterial SSU rRNA
Rfam family: Bacterial small subunit ribosomal RNA
Source: RNAcentral
CGGAGCACGCCGCGUGCGGGAGGAAGGCCUUAGGGUUGUAAACCGCUUUUAUCAGGGAAGAACACAAUGACGGUACCUGAUGAAUAAGCCUCGGCUAAUUCCGUGCCAGCAGCCGCGGUAAUACGGGAGAGGCGAGCGUUAUCCGGAAUUAUUGGGCGUAAAGCGUCCGCAGGUGGCCAAUUAAGUCUGUCGUUAAAUCGUGGAGCUCAACUCCAUACAAGCGAUGGAAACUGAUUGGCUAGAGUACGGUAGGGGUAGCGGGAAUUCCAGGUGUAGCGGUGAAAUGCGUAGAUAUCUGGAAGAACACCAGCGACGAAAGUGCGCUACUGGGCCUGUACUGACACUCAUGGACGAAAGCCAGGGGAGCGAAAGGGAUUAGAUACCCCUGUAGUCCUGGCCGUAAACGAUGAACACUAGGUGUUGCGCGAAUCGACCCGUGCAGUGCCGUAGCCGACGCGUUAAGUGUUCCGCCUGGGGAGUACGCACGCAAGUGUGAAACUCAAAGGAAUUGACGGGGGCCCGCACAAGCGGUGGAGUAUGUGGUUUAAUUCGAUGCAACGCGAAGAACCUUACCAAGGCUUGACAUCCCCCGAAUCUCUGGGAAACCGGAGAGUGCCUUCGGGAGCGGGGAGACAGGUGGUGCAUGGCUGUCGUCAGCUCGUGUCGUGAGAUGUUGGGUUAAGUCCCGCAACGAGCGCAACCCACGUCCUUAGUCGCCAUCAUUCAGUUGGGCACUU